This is a non-coding RNA of Cinara cedri, 1441 nucleotides long. NCBI's taxonomy places the organism in Eukaryota, Metazoa, Arthropoda, Insecta, Hemiptera, Aphididae. The record is from the annotation of a GenBank genome assembly.
CACAUUUUUCAUUAUUUUUUUUAAAAUACCAAUUAAUAAAAUUAAAUAUGUUAAAUGCAAAAAUAUAUGAUGAAAUAAACACUUAAAAUAUAAAAACAUUUUAAAAAUAUUUCUAAAAUAUUAAUUAAUAUAAAAUUGAUAAAACUAUUCAAAUGAAUUACAUGAAACAAUUGCAUGAUGUUUUAAAUUUUCAAAAAUGCUGAGUUACUUGAAAGCGCUUAUUUGAUGAGACUGCCUGGUCACAAAUAUUACAAAAUAGUGUUUUACCAUCGGUUUUAAAACCUGUACUAAAAAACUCUUCGACAUACUGUCGAAGUUUUGCAAAGGUAUUUUGUAUUUUUGGCAUUUUAUAAUUGAAUGUAAUUCAUUAUAAUGAAUUUUACAUAAUUUACAGUUUGCAAAUAACACGGCAACGUAUCACUACACACGGUAUACGACGAUGACUGUCAAAACACAAACUAACUUUCAGCUGUAUGCCUGUAUGCUUUUAUCCAGUAAGCGUACGAAUAUAUGACAGUAUGAUAAGAUAAAAUUACAUUUGGGUAUUUUUGUACGGCGAUGAAAUGAAUUGUAACGAAAUAUAAUAUAAAACAUGCACUUUUGGUGUUUUUGUAGUCGAAAUGUAUACAAAUAUUAAUUUUGUUCAAAAUAUGCAAAAAUAUGCAUUUUAUCCAAAAUAUGCAAACAUAUGACAAAUAAAAAUACCACCAUUUACCUCAGCAAGAGCUAAUUCGUGUACAUUACUUACAAAAUAAGUAAUCAGAAGUUGCAAAAAAAAACAUACCAAUGCAUAUAAAUCCUAGCCCUAAUGAUUAUAUUGAAAAACUAUAAUUUUAAAAUUCAAACCGAUAUUUUUUUACUAUUACAACUUUUCUACUUUUCCAUUCAACUUCAAGGGUGGUUUUUAAUAAAAAACGUUGUCUUAUUGGUGCAAUAAAGAAGUUUAUUUUUAUUUUCUUUGUAGAUUUAUAAAUAAUGGGGAAAAUCCACGAAAAGGUAAGGGUCUAGUUUUCAUAUGUUUUAGACCAAUAAACGAUGGUAAAUUAGACAUAGUUCCCGAUGUCUUGUUUCCCGAGUUUUAUAUAAUUAUUUGAAAUGUUCAAGUUUUAGAUUUUGUGAGCAGCGAUGAAUAGAUUGUAUUGGUUUUACUAAAAUGUUUUUUUUUUUUGUAUUUGUAAUCUGUUAACAACUUUACUGCAAGAAAUCUUGCUCCAAACUUCAAGUGUGAAUAAGACUCUAUGGUUGGUGCAGGAGCUCAAAUAUGAUGAAGGAUAUGGAAGAUCUUCCUCAAUGAACUGUAGUUAUAUAGUAUAUUGUUUUUUUUUUUUAUACAAAUUAGAAGUUUUAAUGCAAAUUUUAAAAAUUAUUACGAAACUAAAAAUUUUAAAUGUUUAAUUGUAUUAGUAGGUACCAAAAUAUUCGUAGUUUAUUAUUCUUCGAG